Molecule: non-coding RNA, 520 nt
Organism: Arachis ipaensis
Lineage: Eukaryota; Viridiplantae; Streptophyta; Magnoliopsida; Fabales; Fabaceae
Source: RefSeq, a predicted model, not a curated record
CGUUGCCGGUGUAGAGUUAUGAAUGGAGGACGAGGUGAUCGUGGAACCUAUGAAUUCGUUGACCUCUCAGAGUGACGAUUUCAUUCAGAUUGUUGAGGUCAAGGCAAAGAAUUUGAUAUAGAUUUUGUUAAGUUGAUUUGAUAUAUUAUUAAGGGGCAAGAUCCUUGAGGUACUGAAAAAUUGGCCUGAGAGGAGUACUCAAGUUAUUGUUGUCAUAGAUGGCGAGCGAAUUUUAGGACUCAGAGACCUUGGAUGUCAGGAAUAUUCUGAACUUCUGAGUGAGUUCAUGGCUGCUGUAAAGCAAAACUAUGGGAAAAAAGUUCUUGUGCAGUUUGAAGAAUUUGCAAAUCACAAUGCUUUCGAGUUGCUUGCGAAAUACGGCACAUCUCAUCUAGUCUUCAAUGAUGAUAUUUAGGGGACUGCAUCUGUUGUUCUUGCCGGGGUCGUGGCAGCAUUGAAGCUGAUUGGUGGAACUUUGGCCGACCACACUUUCCUGUUCCUCGGUGCCGGUGAGGUAACA